UGUUUAUCGAAACUACAUCAAUCAACUUUUCAACUAUGCAGGUGAUCGAUCUGGAGAGAUGAAAACAGUCUUAUGAUCUUCACACAGUCUCAGCUUUUUGGCAUUUACUAAUAUCUGAUGAACGGAUUUCAAAAUGUACAAGGCAUCAUAUCAAAGAUUGCAUAUGCCCGAAAGAAGGACAAAUCCAAUUUGGCUCUCUGGAUGUAUGGAAAGCUCUCAACCUUCCAGAAAAGGACUGUUCAAAGGAACACUUAAAUCCCUCCGACAGACAAAGAUAACCUCUCUAGGCCCUCUGGUGGUGACGUAUAAGUGCUUUCUCAGUACUUUCUCUCGCUUUUGGACAAAUCCAGUGAGUUAACUUUUUAUCAGUGGUCGACCGGGGGCAGGAUUCUGACCGGGGCCGGGGAGCC
Long non-coding RNA from Bolinopsis microptera, 410 nucleotides. RefSeq lists it as uncharacterized. Lineage: Eukaryota; Metazoa; Ctenophora; Tentaculata; Lobata; Bolinopsidae. The transcript has 4 exons. The record is from RefSeq and is a predicted model, not a curated record.